This 492-nucleotide ribosomal RNA is filed under the name uncultured Mycobacterium sp. RNAcentral's name for it is "bacterial SSU rRNA". It matches the Rfam family "Bacterial small subunit ribosomal RNA", at positions 384 to 886 of the family's 1533-position model. The record is from RNAcentral. Lineage: Bacteria; Bacillati; Actinomycetota; Actinomycetes; Mycobacteriales; Mycobacteriaceae.
UGAUGCAGCGACGCCGCGUGGGGGAUGACGGCCUUCGGGUUGUAAACCUCUUUCAGUACAGACGAAGCGCAAGUGACGGUAUGUACAGAAGAAGCACCGGCCAACUACGUGCCAGCAGCCGCGGUAAUACGUAGGGUGCGAGCGUUGUCCGGAAUUACUGGGCGUAAAGAGCUCGUAGGUGGUUUGUCGCGUUGUUCGUGAAAACCUGAGGCUUAACCUUGGGCGUGCGGGCGAUACGGGCAGACUGGAGUACUGCAGGGGAGACUGGAAUUCCUGGUGUAGCGGUGGAAUGCGCAGAUAUCAGGAGGAACACCGGUGGCGAAGGCGGGUCUCUGGGCAGUAACUGACGCUGAGGAGCGAAAGCGUGGGGAGCGAACAGGAUUAGAUACCCUGGUAGUCCACGCCGUAAACGGUGGGUACUAGGUGUGGGUUUCCUUCCUUGGGAUCCGUGCCGUAGCUAACGCAUUAAGUACCCCGCCUGGGGAGUACGGA